Molecule: long non-coding RNA, 339 nt
Filed under: Gallus gallus (chicken)
Lineage: Eukaryota; Metazoa; Chordata; Aves; Galliformes; Phasianidae
Description: lncRNA (ENSGALG00010022318.1)
Source: RNAcentral
UGUAUGGGAACUGUUGAAUCACGGCCUGAACCUCUGAUUGACCUCCUGAGGCGAGCGCUGAGUCAGCUGCAGGGCACAGGUGAACGCAAUUUCACCUGAGUGACCGGAAGGGGUGGAGCCUGGCUGCACCCACAGAGACCCCAUUUAAGGGCUGACUCCCAAGGAGGAAGGAUCUCUAGCUGGAGAUCACUCCUCUUGGAGCCCUUCUGUGAGCCCAGGACAUGGCACCUCCAGGGAUGGGCACCCACAGCUCUGGGCAGCCGUGCCGCUGCCUCACCGCCCUCUGACUCCCUUCAGGUGCUGGAAGGCCACAGUGAGGUCUCCCCACAGCCUUCUCUU